RNAcentral lists this ribosomal RNA (459 nucleotides) under uncultured Rummeliibacillus sp. RNAcentral describes it as "partial 16S ribosomal RNA". It matches the Rfam family "Bacterial small subunit ribosomal RNA", at positions 341 to 792 of the family's 1533-position model. The record is from RNAcentral. Lineage: Bacteria; Bacillati; Bacillota; Bacilli; Caryophanales; Caryophanaceae.
ACGGGAGGCAGCAGUAGGGAAUCUUCCACAAUGGACGAAAGUCUGAUGGAGCAACGCCGCGUGAGUGAUGAAGGUUUUCGGAUCGUAAAACUCUGUUGUAAGGGAAGAACAAGUACGUUAGGAAAUGAACGUACCUUGGCGGUACCUUAUUAGAAAGCCACGGCUAACUACGUGCCAGCAGCCGCGGUAAUACGUAGGUGGCAAGCGUUGUCCGGAUUUAUUGGGCGUAAAGCGCGCGCAGGCGGUUUCUUAAGUCUGAUGUGAAAGCCCACGGCUUAACCGUGGAGGGUCAUUGGAAACUGGGGGACUUGAGUGCAGAAGAGGAAAGUGGAAUUCCAAGUGUAGCGGUGAAAUGCGUAGAGAUUUGGAGGAACACCAGUGGCGAAGGCGACUGUCUGGUCUGCAACUGACGCUGAGGCGCGAAAGCAUGGGGAGCAAACAGGAUUAGAUACCCUGGUA